This 71-nucleotide transfer RNA is filed under the name Ovis aries (sheep). It matches the Rfam family "tRNA". From Rfam's summary of the family: Transfer RNA (tRNA) molecules are approximately 80 nucleotides in length. Their secondary structure includes four short double-helical elements and three loops (D, anti-codon, and T loops). Further hydrogen bonds mediate the characteristic L-shaped molecular structure. tRNAs have two regions of fundamental functional importance: the anti-codon, which is responsible for specific mRNA codon recognition, and the 3' end, to which the tRNAs corresponding amino acid is attached (by aminoacyl-tRNA synthetases). tRNAs cope with the degeneracy of the genetic code in two manners: having more than one tRNA (with a specific anti-codon) for a particular amino acid; and 'wobble' base-pairing, i.e. permitting non-standard base-pairing at the 3rd anti-codon position. The record is from Rfam by way of RNAcentral. Lineage: Eukaryota; Metazoa; Chordata; Mammalia; Artiodactyla; Bovidae.
UCCUGGCCGCUCAGACAGUAAAGCAUCUACCUGUAAUGUGGGAGACCCAGGUUCGAUUCCUGGGUCGGGAA